GAAGGAACAGUCAUAACGGCAGUUAUGUUAUCCUUGCGAUCUUCGCGUUGUUGACAUCCGGAUGAUAAUGCUUCCCGUUUUCCCAGAGUAUAUAUACACUAAUCCCACUAGUUGAUGGUGUUUCGUUGCCAAAAAAAGAAAAGAAUUGGUUGAAGGGCGUGAGCACAGGUGGCGGUCUCUCCUCCAUUUAUGUAAUCGCCCUUGCGAUGUUAAUCUGCUAACGAUCCGGGCCACUCUUUAACUAUUCAUUAAGUCGGUUUCAUUGAUUAAUGAUGCCACUAAAACGAACCUCGAGUAUAAACAAACACUAACUGAAUGUGUCUUUGCUUUUCUCUUUUAUUUUUUUCAUGUCCUCCGCUUACAAUUCGUCCUGGCCUCGGAUUCCAUUUAAUAGGGUUAUACUGUGCUUCAUUGGGGCUCGAAACACGGAAGCGAGAAGAUCAUCAGGAUGUUCGCUGGCAAAUACAAGGCUGAUGUCAACGCG
Molecule: long non-coding RNA, 484 nt
Organism: Nicrophorus vespilloides
Lineage: Eukaryota; Metazoa; Arthropoda; Insecta; Coleoptera; Silphidae
Exons: 3
Source: RefSeq, a predicted model, not a curated record